RNAcentral lists this ribosomal RNA (510 nucleotides) under uncultured bacterium. RNAcentral describes it as "partial 16S ribosomal RNA". It matches the Rfam family "Bacterial small subunit ribosomal RNA", at positions 28 to 507 of the family's 1533-position model. The record is from RNAcentral.
GACGAACGCUGGCGGCGUGCUUAACACAUGCAAGUCGAACGAAGAGCGAUGGAAGCUUGCUUCUAUCAAUCUUAGUGGCGAACGGGUGAGUAACGCGUAAUCAACCUGCCCUUCAGAGGGGGACAACAGUUGGAAACGACUGCUAAUACCGCAUACGAUCUAAUCUCGGCAUCGAGGAUAGAUGAAAGGUGGCCUCUACAUGUAAGCUAUCACUGAAGGAGGGGAUUGCGUCUGAUUAGCUAGUUGGAGGGGUAACGGCCCACCAAGGCGAUGAUCAGUAGCCGGUCUGAGAGGAUGAACGGCCACAGUGGGACUGAGACACGGCCCAGACGCCUACGGGAGGCAGCAGUGGGGAAUCUUCCGCAAGGGACGAAAGUCUGACGGAGCAACGCCGCGGGAGUGAUGACGGCCUUCGGGUUGUAAAGCCCUGUUAAUCGGGACGAAAGGCCUUCUUGCGAAUAGUGAGAAGGAUUGACGGUACCGGAAUAGAAAGCCACGGCUAACUACGUG